Molecule: long non-coding RNA, 3699 nt
Filed under: Mus musculus (house mouse)
Lineage: Eukaryota; Metazoa; Chordata; Mammalia; Rodentia; Muridae
Description: long non-coding RNA chr17:12748294-12751993
Source: RNAcentral
UUUUAACUAUUAUAAAAGCCACCUGGGUGUGGAAGAGGUGGGACACUUUCAGUGAAAGCAUAGCCUGCUUUUUUUUUUUUUUAAGGUAUUCUAAUACCUAGGAGCUGGAGAGGUGGCUCUGCAGGCACAGCACUUGAUCCUCUUCCCAGCACCCAGGCCUGGGGAUUCACAACCACCUGGCAGCCCCAGCUCCAUCUGACCCCAGCAGAGUCCUGAACUCAAAAGGCAAGCAGCCAGAAUGCUCUUUUAGGAAAUGUCUAUUAGACACUGCAUUGAUUACUAUAUCAUAACCAUGCAGCUGUGUACACAGCUGUACCGCAGGGCAUGCUCACAGGACAGCUUUACUUACCCACUGAGCGGCAGUUCUCUGUCUUUAGGUCACACAUACAGAUAGCACUUGUAGGCCCACAGCUGGAAAUACCCACAUUUCCACAGACGUUGAUCUUAUAAACUGCAUUGUUUUUGGAGUCAACAGCUUCCCAUGUGUAACUAGAAAGAAAUAAAGGAGGCAAGCUUGUCAUUGUUAUUGAUCUGACAAUAAUCACCUUCUCUCUAGUCUGGCAUUCUAGCCAUAUUUGCUUUGACUACUACAAAUAAGAAGUUACUCCCAUUAACCACAGAUACCAAGUCAAAUUCGGCAAAACAUUUUGGAAAGGAGUUCAAGAUGGCUAGGAAGCCCUCAGACUACACAACCCCAUGUUUGUUCUAAGAACAUCAACGCCAUUAAGCAGAUACUAGAAUACACUGUGUGUAAAGUGGGACUGGUCCAGUCACCCCAGAGUUCUGAAGACCCAAAUGACUAUUAUUUUAGUUUGCUUUGAAUUAUCAUUAUUUUAUGUGUAUGGACGUUUUGCCAACAUGUCUAUUGUGCGCCACCUAUGUACAAUACCCAAGGAGUCCAGAAAGUGUCAGUCCCUCUGGAACUGGAGUUACAGGCGUUUGUGAGGUUCCAAGGAGUGCUAGGAUCAAACCUAAGUCUCCUAAAACAGCAGCCAGGGAAACUGCUGAGCCACCUCUCCAGUCCCUCCACGGGACUGUUCUUAACUCUCAAGCUUUUUAACCUCUUUGAGACAGGUGAAACGUCUGAUGCCCCUGCCUCCACCUCCUGAAUGCUGAGAUUACAGACUUACACCACCACACCUAGACUUAAGUGGUCUGAGGACCAAACACAGGCUUAGUUGAACAUUAGGCGAGCACUCUACCAAUUGGGCUUCAUCCCCAGUCCUGGGAUUCUUUUGUUCUUGAAAACUAGCUGUAAUGUGUAAGCAGGCCUGCUUUUGGUACAGACUACAGUCCUGACGUGACAGCCAUGCUAAGAACUGCCAUCUGCCUCACGAUGAGGUAAGAUCUACUGCAGGCUGCCUCACUACAGAGCUCAGCCAAAGGCACUCUAAGAGCUAUCUAUCAACCUCAACACCGGGGUAAAAUCAGUGAGGGGUGUUCCUUCUGCCCCAAGUACAUCAUCCUCAAUCCUCUACUCUUCCUGGGACUCAUUUCCUCAGCAAGAGUACAAGGAGGAAAGGAAGAGAAUAGGUACAAAGCUGCCUGAGCGGCUAAAUCAGAUUUGCUGGGAUAAACUUACCCAGAAGUAGGGAAGUGAGCCAGCUCCCACCCAUUCCCAGUGGACCACAUUUGGCUCUUUUAAGUAUGGCCUCACAGAAGUUCCCAAAGCUACCAGGCACUGUCCUGUCUGUCCCCCACCGUCCCCACCCCCACCACCCCCACCCUGCCCCAGCACCAACAGCUAUUAGACAACUCACUUAACCUUAGGUCUGGAGUCCAAUCAGACCUCCACCCCUCCCCCAUCCCACCCCAAAGCAUCCCUAUCCAAGCAUCUGGCAGGACCAGGGAAUUUGUGGCCACUAAGAUACUACAAACCUGAAAAACUGGUUACUUAAGUGCUGGGCCUGGGGUGAUGUCAGGCUUUAAAGCAGGAACUACUCAACUCUGACAGACUGAUUACCUCCAGAGCCAGGACGAUUAUGCCAGAGGAAAAAAAUCUCAAGCAAUCUAGCUGACCCAGAGAAAACCAUCAAUAAAGCCUUGUUCCUUCUUCCUUUGGGGGGCGGGGGGGGGGGGGUAGGGGGUGCAGCAGGAAACUUAAUUUGUUUCACGGUGUAUACUGUUUUUCUUUGGGGGGGGAGCCUGGAAUUGUAAAUGUCCUUCCUCCUAUGUCUCCCCACUACCGAGCUUCUACGUUACUGCUUGAGAAACGCAACAGUGUAUAAAGUGUAUAAGAUGGCAACAGUUCCCCAGCUUCCUGCUAACCUGUUCCAGUAAGGGAAGGAAAGUAAGUGAACUCGGCACAGGACAAGCUCUGCUGGGAACUGAGCAGGCACAUUACCGAAGGUAACAGACAGACCCCGUAACUAUGUCAGGCUGGGAAACUUACUCUUCUGAGCCCUGACAGACAAGCAGCAGAGCUUUAGGGGUGGGGGAAAAAAGAAAGGAGAGCUACUUGACCUAGGCUGCAGGACUGAGUCAGCGGCAGGUGUGGAGGCCACAGAAGCCACGCCUGUCCUGCAGUCUUUAAAUAUAUUUGAAACAAAUGCAGCCCUCGGCACUUAGAAACUUUCUUUAAACGUUUAGGUAGUGAUUUGUAGGUUAUCAGUACAUUUCUGUUACAGAAAUGCUAAACUCUCAUUGGGAGCCUGUGAUUAAGUUUUUCCAAGCUGGCAGGCAGUUCACUGAAACCCUUAGCUUGUCAUCAUUACAGCUCCUCCCAGUCCGAUGACUGAAGUGCCUGCCUGUACCACAGAAAAGAAGUUAGCAAUGAGAACCAGGUCUAAAGAAAUGCAGACAGAAGAAAACUGAAAAGGGUGAAAUGAGCUGCACAGAGGUCAGGAGGAAAGGCUGCUUUCUGAAAGCGUACUUUUCUUCUAUCUGUGUCUCAUACAAAAUCAAAAUGGAAGUCAUGAUAUACAUACAGAAGGCAGAGCCUAUCACCUACUUUAGUUCUUGAAUAGACUUUCUCUGGAACUGACUUACCGGCUCACAGGCAGCCCUCCAUAGGCGCCAGCCCUCCAUAGGCGCAUGCACUCAGCCCCAUCAAAUUGGCCCACAGUUCCCGGUGGGUGGGGGGUAGGGCACUAGCUUGGCUUAGUCACAUCACUCAAGAGCAAAGAAACAGUUGCAAUGUUUCCUAAACUGAAACCUGAUGACCUGCAGGCUAUUAACACUUGAGAAGGCCUAAUUCCAGCAAACAUUGCAGCUGCUUUAAAACAAUCCAACAUGCUUGGCUCCUGAGCACAAUCAGGCAACUGAAAUAAUGUGUCAGGAACCUCAUGGGAAAAUAGUUAAUUAGUUCUGCAGAACAGUGAAAGUGAGUCAACAUGCAGAUACAUGUGCUCUGGUACUAUUACUUUAAAAUUAGUUUAUAAUAAGCCCAAGAGUGGUAGGAAUAUAUGACAAUUCUUUUAAACAAAUGCCAUGUUUAUUAAGGAGAGGGCCGCAUGUUUGCAGCCAAGUGUAAUGGUGCAGGUACAGGCAGUGAAGGAUGGAGGGUCAAUAGUUCAGACAGCCCUGGCUACACAGUGAGGCCUAGGCCAGCCCAGACUAGGCAGGAAACCAUUUCAGGCUAGGCAGAGCGGUGCAUGUUUUUAAUCCCGAUGCUCUGGAAGCUGAUAGUCUGUUGAGUUCAAAGCCGGACUGAUCUACAUUCAGAGUUCUUGGACAACCAGGGACCAGGGACCUUGUCUC